This 483-nucleotide long non-coding RNA is filed under the name Rattus norvegicus (Norway rat). Its description in RNAcentral is "long non-coding RNA NONRATT002664". Lineage: Eukaryota; Metazoa; Chordata; Mammalia; Rodentia; Muridae. The record is from RNAcentral.
UGGUGCAGGGGUUGAGCCUGAGUGAGUGGGAAGGCAUUGUCACUGUGUCCGGAGAUGGGCUGCUUUAUGAGGUGCUGAAUGGGCUCCUCGACCGCCCAGAUUGGGAAGACGCUGUGCGGAUGCCCAUUGGUGUCCUCCCCUGUGGUUCGGGCAAUGCACUAGCUGGGGCAGUUAACCAUCAUGGCGGGUAUGUUGACUGCUGCUGAGACAGCUAGGGAUACCUGCUAAAGAGAGGGAUGAGUCUUUGGGACUUCAGGGUCUGAUAUCUUAUUAUCCAGCACCCACUACCCCUUACCCAAGAGCAAGUUCUGUGGCUGGCCUGUAGAAUAUCUUCAGUCAGGGAUGCUUAUGGGGGGCUCCAGGUUAUGACUCCUGGUGGCAGGCAUUGCUGCGCCUGCCACCCUUUCCCCUCUGUGUCUCACUCCUCAUUGCCCUUUCCCAUUGUGACACCUCUCUCUGAUUGUGAAGGUUUGAGCAAACUGU